UAUUACACUCUUGCGCUUUCAUCGCUAGGGUUUUGAAAGGAGAGAGCGCGCGGGCAUGGCGGACAAGCUCGUCGCGGCCGCGCUCCAGGAGAUUGCGGCCGAGGGAGAACAAGGAUGCCUUCUCGCCAAACUCUGGGCCUUCCUCCAGGCCACGCCCGCGGGGCUGGAAAUUCACGUUGACGAUCACGUCAAGCAGGCGGUGUGGCGGGGAUUGCUCGCGGUGCCGGGGCUGAGCUUCAAAUUCUCGGGCCAGUCCAAUGCAGCAGCAAUGCCGGCCUCGGACCCCUCGAUUCAGUCUUUGCAGAGCGCCGAGAGCUUGGAAUUGGUCGUGGUUGCCUCUCAGGACAUCCGAGAUGCGUGCUUGGGUCUCUACGAUAUCAGGCACGCCGACACACAGCCUUCUCAGAUUCAACACUCCAUUCUCGAGCGUCUUGCUAAGGCACGGACUGAGGGAGUGACACAAAAUCAGCUCGGUAAGGAUUUCAAGGUGGAAGGAAACAAGCUUUUUUAUAUCCUCCGGAGCCUCGAAUCGCGUGGCCUGGUCGUGAGGAGGUCCACGCUUGUGAGGAAUAAGGACACAGCGAAGGGUGGAGGCUCGAUAGUUUUGACAAACUUGGUCCAUCUUACGAGAUACGCCAGGCAUUUAACUUUGAAUUCGCACCAGCGGUUUGAGAUAUCCAAUGGUGCCGAGGACGCUGCGUUUCCAGAGGAUCCCGACGACGCUGAUGACAAUCACUCCAAGGGGAAGCAUUUGAUGAUCAACGACGACUUGCCUGCCAUGAAAGCUAUCUGUGAUAAGCUGCAACAAGCGGAGGGCAAGGUCCUUGUCGUCUCUGAUCUGAAGCUUACACUCGGCUAUCGAAUGUCUUCUGGACACCGUGCUUGGCGGAGGCUGAUGAAAAGGCUGAAAGAGGCAGGUUUUGUCACCAUUAUAGAGGCAAAAGUGGGCCGCAAGGUAAGAUCCUGCAUUCAGCUGCUGAAGGCUUUCAACGAACACGAGUUUAGCGCUUCUACCUCUGUUGAAGCGGAUACCGAGCAACAGUUGAAAGGCCCAAAGAGAGGUCAAGUUACGGAACAGCUUGUGGAACUUUCUGUCGAUCAACAGAUUUAUGACAUGAUUGAUGAAGGGGGGAGAGAGGGCCUGAUGAUGAUGGAGGUUUGGAAGAGGAUUGGACUUAAUAACAAGAGAAACUAUUACCGGAUUCAAAACAUGACCAUAAAGAACGGCAUUCUUUUCGAAGCGGAGAAUCACAAGCGCUCAACAUUGUAUCGACUGAGAACCACUCACCGCACAAGAGAGGUCCCUGCAGAACAGGAUGAAGAUACUCAAGAUCCACUUGAAAAUAUGGAAGAAGCUACGGUGCCUUCGAGUGACAGCCUCAAAAGAGUUCAGAAGCUUCCUCUGAUUCGCAAGAACGCGAAGAAGGUCGAAAGCGAUUCAUUGACAGAGUCCAUGGUCAAGAUUGAUACCGAGACGGAUGCUGGAAACACAGUCAUUACAACCCUGCCAGCUACGGAGGCUCUCAGUCCAGCUAUUAACGAAACUCCCGAAGGGAUGGAUAUUACGCCGGUUCCUACUACGCCAGCCAGCAGCUUUCCGCCUCCAUCUUUGUUUCGAAUCGGGCAGCCAUAUCCUUGCUUGACUGUAACGACUACGAGUUUACAACGAGAGCAACGCAUUCUGGAAAGGCUACAGGAGGAAAAAUAUGUAGUGCGAGCUGAGCUUCACCGAUGGCUAGAAAGCAUAAGUAACCGGAAGACCAUGAUGGACAGAAAGACAUUGACUCGAACUCUUCAGAAGCUCCAACGUGAAGGCCGAUGCAAGUGCAUUCUGCUGAGCAUGCCCGGGUCGACGAACUGCGGUCGCAAGAGAACUGCGGAGGUCGUUCUUCUUCCGUCAGUGAAGGUGGAGCCUGACUUGCUCAGCGUUAUUCACGAACGUAUUCGAAAGUUUGACAUGGAAAGCCGUGGUCACGGGUUACCCCGCGAGAAGGCGUCAGUCAACACGGUACCUGUUCUUACUGGCUUGAGAAGGAUGAAGGUGAAACACAAGAAAGCGCCCUUAUUAUCACAGAUUGAUGCAGCCAAGACAGUGGCCCUUCAAGCUAACGGGUUCGUGCCGGCAAAAAUGGUCAGAGCUCGGAUGCUGCAUUAUUUCCUUUGGAACUACACCAAUGACUUUUUGGACGAAGAUAUGGGCCUCGAGUUUGGUACACCACGCUUGACGGAUGGGAGAGGGUACCGAGUCUUCGGAUUGAUGGCUGCAGUACAGUCUAUGCCACUGGAGUUGUUUCUCCAAAUGGUUGGCUCGAAUAGAGUGAUCGACAACUUGACAGAGCGUUGCAGACAAGGCAUGCGGCUUCGUGACCUUCCCGAAGGUGAACAAGUUAUUUUGCUGGAGAAUUCUGCUGGAGGACGUUUGGCAUGGCUCGUUGAUAUUCUUCGUCGUCUGAAACUUAUACGGAUUGUUAUCGGGCAUGGUCCGGUCGUUUUACAAGACCGUUGGCAUCUUGGCAGCCUCUCUAUAUCAAUGAUUGAGGCUUCUCUUACAUAUGCCAUGGAGGAACAUAUGUACAUCGAACAGCCAGCACCGCAGCCCCUUCCAUCUCUUACGAGGGACACUUAUGACUACAAUCCGCGAGCCCGCCACGAGUUUGACAUCAAUACGAAAGAAGGCCUCGAUAAUUACUGGCAAACUUUGGAGUACUUCUUUUCCGGUGCAGAACCUGGUAUUGCGAGGCACGCGUUCCCUGGUUCAAGUGUUCCUGAGCUUUUUGGCUUGCGGUCUUGGACCUCACUUCGAAUCAUGACAAUCGAUCAACGUAAUGAUCUUGUGAGGAGAAUGAACGAAGGUGGGCCAGAAAAGCGGAAGUCGAUACAGGAAUGUGCAAAAAUUGCUAAAGAUCUGAACCUUACACUUGAACAGGUCCUACGAGUCUCUUAUGAGAAAAAUCGUCGUGUCCGACUCCAAUCGUUACAGAAAACUGAACCUAGUUUUAUGGACACGUUUGCCAGCAGUCAUCCAGCGCCUCCACAGGUCUUAGUUACUGAAGACAAUUCCAGACAUGAAAUGGGACAGAUGUUUACGUCCGGAAUCUCCGAAGCAACACAGAUGGAAAAAGAAGUGGAUGAUGCAGACGAUAUGGGGGACCAUGUUAAUCAUAUAAGUAUCGUAACCAAAUUGAAGCCGUCGAGAUCAAGAAGAUUUCCGUGGUCGGACAAGCUGGACAGAGUACUUUUCUUUGCUUAUGCGAAACAGCGGGCUUUAUUGGGUGCAAAGAUGAACCGCGUGGACUGGAAUUUGAUUCCCGGUCUUCCAGCAGCACCAUUAGUCUGUCGCAGGCGGAUUUCCAUUCUGAAGUCCGAGGCAACCGUGAAGAAGGCCAUUUUGAAUCUAUGCUCGCUACUUUCAGCGCGGUAUGAGAAAUACUGCCAGUUGAUGGAGAGUAUCGAGGAUCAAGGGACCAGUAGUACGUGUGAAGAACAAGUAGUGGAAGACGGAGAGCUUAUUCCGCCUGCACCUAUCAGAGUUCUGCACGAGCAACCGGAGUAUUACUGGGAUAAUCCUGAAGACGCGUCCGUGGUCUCGGCGAUCGACGAAAUCAUCAGAUGCAAGAACUUAGUACGAUCGUGCUACAACAAGCCGUGCCACAACAAGCGUAUCGUUGCAACAUCGCUAUACAAUAGUGCAACUGAGACCGUUGAAGCUUCAACAAGUGGAAGCAUCACAGUCGAUCCACUACACCUGUCUUCUGCUGCUGGGCUUAUGCAAGUAAGCAAACGGCCUCCUAUAAAACCGAACAAGACUGGUGGUGUUAUCGCCCUUCGCUCACGACGGGUCAGAAAGAAAGUGAAGAAAAAGCCGGCAUCGCUUCAGUGUCUGACCACUGAGCAACUUGUGCACGGUUCAGUUGGAGUUGCCAACGCGAUCGAGUUUAUCAAGCUGGUAUUCUUGAACACGUCGGUAAACAGUGACGACGUGCAGUUGCCGAAGGCUUUUAUGGAUGCACUUCAUCAGUUCAAAGAGGCAGACGUGUUUACAGCUUUUAACUUUCUCAAGGAUCACGGGAUGGUGGCGUCCGGUCAGGGUGCUCAAUCCUUCGUUCUGUCCGAUACUUUCUAUCAGAACGCGUUUGCAACGAGGUUUCCUGGCUCAACUGCCGAAGAAUCCUUUGCAAUGUCUAAAUGGCUUCAGGAGCGCAGAACUGACAUUGAUCAAGAAUGGGUUACAUACUCAACCGAAGACACUUGUGGCAAGCUUCUACAAUUAUUUGGGAGAGUUGCCACAGGAGAACUUACAUUGAAACCGAGCGUACCGGCUAAUGGGAUUGGCGAGAGCGAAGACCCGAGAUCAAUCGGUUGCGGUUUCAAGCGCAAGCCAGACAACCAGGAACAAGGUGCAAGAACUGUAAAGGCGAGACUCGAAGACAAGGACGAAGUCUACCAAGCAGUUCGUCGUGAGCGAGGAUUUCCUGGCAUCGAUGUUCUUUUACACCGAGAGACCUUUACUCUUCCGGAUUUGCUCUCUAGAUGCCAAGGCGAGCUGGAACCGGGUCCAUCAGAAACACCUUCUUUCGAAGUUCCAGGCGCAAAAAAUCUGGAGAAGGUUUCUGGCACGGAAGGUGACGAAAAUCUCGAGCCUGGUUUACUUGCGGCAAUGCAAACCGAAAUCGAAAAUGCUGGUGAGGAAGGUGUAAACAUCAAGGACCUUGGCCAACGCCUUGGUACGGAACUCGUGGAGAAAUAUGUCGACUCUCUGGAGUCCUCUGGCGUUGUGAAGAAGGUGAACGCGUUCGACCACGUUCGUGUUCUUUCUCAGGCCUUUGCUGGCCGGUACUUUCUUCAGUUUUCUACAAAGAAGACGGACAGGGGCUCGCUUCUGCUUUCCAGUCCAGGGAAAAGCAUCGAAAAGAGCGACGUUUUCAUGGGAGAUGGUGCUUCCACUUCGACAUUCAUGGACAUUGAUCCCAUUGAAGGAGGAAGCAGCGAACACAAGGCAUGCAACACGGCUGACGUAGCCGAUGUGACCAGCACACUUCCAAUCCUUCCUUGGAUAACGUCUAACGGAAGUCUAAACAUGAAAAUAUUGAAGGGACUGAUCCGUCGCGUUAUGGGCAUUGUAACACUGAACCCCGGAAUCACUGAGGACAAUCUGGUCAAGCGGAUGAACGUCCUCAAUCCACAGACUGUAAAGGAGCUCCUGCGCAUGCUCUUGCUGGAUGGUAAACUAAUCGUCCGCAGUGUCACGUACCCUCCCGUGUUCGUGCCAUCUCUUUUGAGUGGUCUGCUCCACACGUCGAGCCAACCUGAAGCAAGUGCAUAUCCACAACAGAAGCAUUACUACGCAAAUGCUCUGUGCACAUCUGCCUUGUAAACCUGAUCAGAAACUUCCAGCAAGAAAAACAGUGUUAUUUUAUUACCAGGAAAACAUCGGAAUGACAUACGACGGAUCCGAUCCGUGAUUGUGCAAAACAGACUUCAGCGCGUCUGGAGAUGCUGCUACAAACACAGACUGUAUUCCAGCGGCCUGUGCUCCUUUUAUAUCGUGCGCCAACGAGUCCCCAACGGCAAUGCAGCACGAAGGCGCGACGUUGGCAAUCGUUUGAGCAGCACGGUAGAUAACCGGGUCGGGCUUUCCCAUCCAUCUGACGUCGCCGCCGAGCUUCUCGUACUCGAGGCCCAGCAUUCCUGGACAACGAGCACGGGUUACUACAAGCUGAGAGAAGAGCCAGCAGCAGGAACUUUCACCAGGCAUCGCUCGGAGCUCCCUGGCUUCCACUGUGACAACGUCCGGAUUGGCAACUAUCAUGGGGAGAUUAUACUUCACUCCAACCUCCAGGAACUCGCGAAGCUGCUCUAAGGUUGCUGGCUUUGGACUCCCGUUCGACGUUCCCAGUGCCUCGGUCCCAUGCACGAGAAUGAAGUCGGCAAGCUCGGGCUUCUCUACGACUUCCAGAUCCAACUCCUGCAACCAGCGAUAGCUUACGACUAUCAAACUUGGGAAGACCAGACCUCGAGUGAUAUAGCACCCCGAGCGCUCCAUGUCAUGUGUAAGCAUCGCUUUCCGAGCCGAGCAAACCAAGGGUCUCGUCUCCUGCAACAAGAGAGAGCGGCAAAACAGUGACAGAUGAUCCAGCAACAGGGGCAGGAAAGAAGCUCACCUGAGGAGGUGGUCGUGAGUUAAUUCUCCGCUGGUGAUGAUUCCAGCAAACAGGCCCGGAUCAAAGCCCAACUCGCUCAUCUUGUUCUUGGUCACCUCGGAUCGCCGGGACGAGUUGCUGAGCAGGAGGAGCUUUGCGCCGGUGGAAGCCAGGCACUCCACUGCGAAAGAGAAAGCAAAGUUUGCACUCUCAGCCAUGGAGGAACAAGAAGAACAAAGAAUGGUAUAGUAUCCAGGACGAAGAGCUUUGGAGCUUCGAGAAUGGAUUGAGCAAACCAGGACGAAAAGAUUCAAGCUCGGGGAAUUUAGCGAGCGAAUGGAAAGAGAUCGAGAAGAACUUGGAGAGGUGUUUUACGAGUAGCAAUGGCGCCUGGGUAUGGCUUUCUUCCAUCGUGGAGCACUCCAAAUUGAUCCAGCAGCCAUGCCUGUAAGCUCUAAA
Molecule: RNA transcript, 6599 nt
Organism: Selaginella moellendorffii
Lineage: Eukaryota; Viridiplantae; Streptophyta; Lycopodiopsida; Selaginellales; Selaginellaceae
Exons: 18
Source: RefSeq, a predicted model, not a curated record